Aedes aegypti (yellow fever mosquito) is the source of this 46-nucleotide non-coding RNA. The record is from Rfam. NCBI's taxonomy places the organism in Eukaryota, Metazoa, Arthropoda, Insecta, Diptera, Culicidae.
CCAUCGGCCCUUUUCAUGGCCAUCAAAUUUGUUGAAAAGAGUUAAA